CAUUUUUCUACUACUAGGCAUUUAGUUUUUAACUAAACAUAUUUUGGAAUAAUAAUAUGGAUUUCGACCUUUUAAAAGCUCUCACUACCAGCAAUGAGAAAAUAAGACCUCUUUAAAGAAGGUAUAGGCAGCAGUAGUUUAAAAGUAUUUUAGUCAUUGGUUUCCUUCAGCCAAGAAAAACAGGUACAAUAUCACUGAAUUAUGGACAAAAGCAGGAAAUACCCUGAAAUUUUCCCAAGAAUAAUAUAUUUCUUAAACACAUGCUGAUGUGAAGGUUGGACUUGUUCUAGGAAGGCUUUAGGAAAGAAAGGAGUCUUGAAUAGGAGAAUAAAUAUACAAGAGGUGGUAUAAAGACAUGAUGUUGGGGGUAAGAGAAAAAACAUGGCAAAUGUCGUGAGGUGAAGAACUCAGGCUCUUAACGUGGUGCCUGGCAGAGUUCCUCUGCCAUCAUUGCCUUUGAUGGUGACUGGAUUCUGGUAAGCUUACCACAAAUCCUUAAAUUCUAGGCAGAACACUUGCUUAAACAAAGAAUUUAAACAACCAUUUGCUAACGGUAAUCUCCUGCCUACUCUAAGUGUCUUUUCACCAAAUCGUUCCUCUUUUUCUAUGCUAUUUAGACUUUGCCAGCAUUAGAGUGGGCAGCCAGAUGUUAUUUCACAGAAUUCACACGGCUGGAAUCGCUGCUGUGAGAAUUCUUUUAAAGGGAUGUAGAACUUAUAGUCUUCCUAAAGCCCCAUGUCCCUGAACUUUUGUAGCAAUCUGGGGAAGAUAGAAUGCUGCAUUAUUAUAUUACAUUUGAUUUUCAUUUAAAUCAAUUCUUUUCUUAGAAAGUUAUCUAAAAAUUUUGAUUCAUUCUACGUUUUGCCCAAUAUGUUUCCCAUUAUUUAUCACAGUGUGUCUUCACAACACCCUGAGAGAUGGGUAGGCCAGAUGUUGCUACUUCCAUUUUCUUCAAAGAGAAGAAAACCGAUGAAGAGACUGAAGGCAUUGCCACCAGAACCCAGGUGUCUCAUCUUUUUGGCCCAGGGUGUGUUCCUCUGACACAUUAAACUGUCACCGUGGCUUUGACAGAUGGCAUUGGCAGAGAGUCCGUAGAGACAUGGGUUGUGUCUCUGCUAUUGGAUAUCUCAGGGAAGUUUUAUACUUCAGUUUUUCAAACCUGCCAUAAACCCUGAGUAUUUCUUUAAGCACAUAUCAAAGUAGUCUAUCUUAAAGUACCUCCAAGUUUUUACCAGAUUUGGAUUUUUUAAUUUUUAAUUUAUUUCAUUUUAUCUGACACAGAGUCUCAC
Molecule: long non-coding RNA, 1289 nt
Filed under: Homo sapiens (human)
Lineage: Eukaryota; Metazoa; Chordata; Mammalia; Primates; Hominidae
Description: non-protein coding lnc-NUDT4-5:1
Source: RNAcentral